This 405-nucleotide unclassified non-coding RNA is filed under the name soil metagenome. RNAcentral describes it as "partial contains 5.8S ribosomal RNA, internal transcribed spacer 2, and large subunit ribosomal RNA". The stretch from base 1 to 121 matches the Rfam family "5.8S ribosomal RNA", at positions 35 to 154 of the family's 154-position model. The record is from RNAcentral.
GAUGAAGAACGUAGCGAAAUGCGAUAAGUAAUGUGAAUUGCAGAAUUCAGUGAAUCAUCGAAUCUUUGAACGCACCUUGCGCCCUUUGGACAUUCCGAAGGACAUGCCUGUUUGAGUAUCAUGAACACCUCAACUCUCACGGCUUGUCCGUGAUGAGCUUGGACUUUGGGGGUCUUGCCGGCCUGUGGUCGGCUCCUCUCAAAUGGAUCAGCUUGCCAGUGUUUGGUGGCAUCACAGGUGUGAUAACUAUCUGCGCUUGUGGUUUUCCAUCAGAUAACCUUCAGUGAUAUGGAGGUUCGCUGGAGCUCACAAAUGUCUCUCCUUAGUGAGGACAGCUCUUUGAACGUUUGAUCUCAAAUCAGGUAGGACUACCCGCUGAACUUAAGCAUAUCAAUAAGCGGAGGA